Gadus morhua (Atlantic cod) is the source of this 744-nucleotide long non-coding RNA. Lineage: Eukaryota; Metazoa; Chordata; Actinopteri; Gadiformes; Gadidae. The record is from Ensembl.
GUGCUGUUGUGUCCUCUUACACAGUGGAGCUGUACGUGAGACCAGGAGAAACCGUUACUGUACCUUGUGACUGUAAACUCUCAUCUGGUGAAACUAUUGUUUGGUACAGGAACUGUUCUCAUGAAAAUCAGCCCCCACUUAUUCUGACAAUGCAGGAAUUAGAGGAGAAUAAGGACUCCAAAUUAUCCAAUCUAAGUGGGAUGUGGAACCAUUCUUCAAAAACAUACACUUUACUGAUUACGAACAUAUCUGAUACUCACCUUGGUCUCUACUACUGUCGAAUUGAAAAACAGUCUAGGAAAGAGCAAGACCAGAAUGAUACAAAGUAUAAACACAGAUGUGGAAAUGUUACCACAAGGAUUUCAUUUGUGGAGGUAGACGACCGAGGUUGAGAGGAGGGAGAGGAGAAGAGCAGAGGAUGGAUUCAGGAUGACCAGCAGCAUCCAGCACUGUCCACAGUCUGGAGCAGCAGGACCGGCUGUGAAACAUGGAGACAAGAUGGUUUUAAAAUAUAUCCACAGAUAUGGACUUUUAAAGGAUAUUUCAAGGAAUUCAUUUGGUAAGUUGACCCUGUGUUGAUUUUCACAGCAAUGUCUAAUUGUAAGUAAGGGAAAUUGGCCUUGAAUAAUUGAACUCUUAUUUAUUGGAGGGACAACAUGCAAUUGGGCUGAAUUUCAGAAAACAAUAUUUACUUUCAUAAGUAUUCAUAAAAAAGUGUCAAUAGAAUAUCAUUUGAGUCUAUCA